This is a small nucleolar RNA of Phragmites australis (common reed), 82 nucleotides long. Lineage: Eukaryota; Viridiplantae; Streptophyta; Magnoliopsida; Poales; Poaceae. The record is from RefSeq and is a predicted model, not a curated record.
AUCCCUAUGAUGAUUAGCUAAAUACCUGGAAUUACCGUCAGAUUUUCAAGUGACGACAAUUGUCUGGCUUCCUGAGGCUAAG